Molecule: ribosomal RNA, 253 nt
Filed under: uncultured bacterium
Lineage: Bacteria
Description: partial 16S ribosomal RNA
Rfam family: Bacterial small subunit ribosomal RNA
Source: RNAcentral
UACAGAGGGGGCAAGCGUUAUUCGGAAUUAUUGGGCGUAAAGGGCGCGUAGGCGGCUUUGCAAGUGGCGGGUGAAAUCCCUCGGCUUAACCGAGGAACUGCCUGCCAGACUGCAUGGCUUGAGACCGGGAGAGGUGAGUGGAAUUCCCAGUGUAGCGGUGAAAUGCGUAGAUAUUGGGAGGAACACCAGUGGCGAAGGCGGCUCACUGGACCGGUACUGACGCUGAGGAGCGAAAGCGUGGGGAGCGAACAGG